Non-coding RNA from Nylanderia fulva, 397 nucleotides. NCBI's taxonomy places the organism in Eukaryota, Metazoa, Arthropoda, Insecta, Hymenoptera, Formicidae. The record is from RefSeq and is a predicted model, not a curated record.
AAUUAUGCAACAUAUUGUGUCAAACAAAAGUUUAUUGAUAUUGUGCAACCUACAAAAUAUCUGUAGGUUUUAUCAUGCAAAUAUUGUCGCAGUUCAGUUUCAGCAUUGAGAGUGAAAUCACCGUCAGUCAGUGUUAAUAACAAAACACCUGCUUAUAAAAGAAAAGAACGUUUAUCCUGUAUGAACAGAAGUCACAACCUGCAUCGUGGAUUUAGAGGAAAAGAAAAAUACAACCGAUAUGAUCAAUUUAAAAACUAUGGGAUUGAUCUGGAUCAUGUGUUUGCUGCCAUUUUGCGGUUGUCUUAAUGAGGAUGUGAUCCCCGAAUUAAGCGAGCCUGUGAAAAGAAUAAUUCGGUCUAACUGGAAUAAAACCGAAUUCAAUCCCGAUAUAAUCCUC